RNAcentral lists this ribosomal RNA (211 nucleotides) under Camponotus sp. MG101. Its description in RNAcentral is "partial 12S ribosomal RNA". Lineage: Eukaryota; Metazoa; Arthropoda; Insecta; Hymenoptera; Formicidae. The record is from RNAcentral.
AACUUAUUUUUUUUUUUWUUUKUUGUUGUUGUAAAAUUAUAUUWAGAGGUAUUAAUUAAUAAAUUUAAUUAAAAUUAUAAUCCAAAUCAAAAUGUAGAAUAAKUAAGAGUUUAAUGAGUUACAAUUAGAUUAAUAAUUGAAUUUUAAAAAAUUUAAUUUUAUAAAUGAAAAUGGAUUUAAAAGUAAAAUUAUAUAAACUUAUAAUUGGAAA